CCCUUAGAUGUUCUGGGCCGCACGCGCGCUACAAUGAUGAAUUCAACGAGUUUAUAACCUUGGUUGAAAAGCCUGGGUAAUCUUUUGAACUUUCGUCGUGAUGGGGCUAGACCCUUGCAAUUAUUGGUCUCCAACGAGGAAUUCCUAGUAAACGCAAGUCAUCAGCUUGCAUUGAUUACGUCCCUGCCCUUUGUACACACCGCCCGUCGCACCUACCGAUUGAAUGGUCCGGUGAAAUCUUCGGAUUGAGACUUUGUUUUCUUCACGGAAAACGCUGUUUUAAAAAGUUGAUUAAACCUGACCAUUUAGAGGAAGGUGAAGUCGUAACA
RNAcentral lists this ribosomal RNA (329 nucleotides) under uncultured eukaryote. RNAcentral's name for it is "partial 18S ribosomal RNA". It matches the Rfam family "Eukaryotic small subunit ribosomal RNA", at positions 1470 to 1796 of the family's 1831-position model. The record is from RNAcentral.